GGGGUCGUUAAGGAUUCGACGGGUAUAGGUCGAGCCUGGAUUGCGCUUCGUGCGGCGUCACGUUAAUCCGUCCAGUUUAAAUUAUAACUGCAAAAAAUAAUAACAAUUCUUACGCUUUAGCUGCCUAAUAAGCGCUUAACGUAGAUCCUCCUAACUUUGUCCACGGGUUAGAUCUGGGUCCUAAAUUUAGUGGACUUACGCUAUUCGCUCCCACCUGAAGUAGAUAGAAGAGACUAAUCAGGUUAGCUAUUGAUGGGUGCCUUGAUAUGCGGCGUUUUCAAUGGUGAAUUUUAAAUAGUAGAUCUAUGAGCGUAGAUAUCUGGGUGCCGAUAUGCUCGGACGCGGGUUCGACUCCCGCCGACUCCAUUA
This 369-nucleotide transfer-messenger RNA is filed under the name Lentilactobacillus curieae. RNAcentral's name for it is "Standard tmRNA". It matches the Rfam family "transfer-messenger RNA". From Rfam's summary of the family: Bacterial tmRNA, also known as 10Sa RNA or SsrA, is named for its dual tRNA and mRNA-like properties. Its role is to liberate the mRNA from a stalled ribosome. The record is from Rfam by way of RNAcentral. Lineage: Bacteria; Bacillati; Bacillota; Bacilli; Lactobacillales; Lactobacillaceae.